UAAUACGGAGGGGGCGAGCGUUAUUCGGAAUUAUUGGGCGUAAAGGGCGCGUAGGCGGCUUGGCAAGUCAAAGGUGAAAUCCCUCGGCUCAACUGAGGAACUGCCUUUGAAACUGCCUGGCUUGAGUCCGGGAGGGGGUAUCGGAAUUCCCAGUGUAGCGGUGAAAUGCGUAGAUAUUGGGAGGAACACCAGUAGCGAAGGCGCUUCACUGGCUCGUAACUGACGCUGAGUGCACGAAGCGUGGGGAGCAAACGGGAUUAGAUACCCCGGUAGUCCACGCAGUAAACGAUGUUCACUAGGUGUCGGCUCCUUUAUUGGGGUCGGUGCCGCAGCUAACGCAUUAAGUGAACCACCUGGGGAGUACAUGUCGCAAGGCU
This 377-nucleotide ribosomal RNA is filed under the name uncultured bacterium. RNAcentral describes it as "bacterial SSU rRNA". It matches the Rfam family "Bacterial small subunit ribosomal RNA", at positions 521 to 895 of the family's 1533-position model. The record is from RNAcentral.